AAAAUGUAUAUUUCAUUUCAGUAGCAUAUCACAUCAAAUACAAUACAUCAUCCAGCGACUCCAUGCAUUAAGGUUCAACGCGUAACAAGGGCACAUCAAAAUAGUUUUACAUGUGCACAACAGAAUACUUGUGCAAGUGCAACUGUACAUAAAAAUGACCCAACAAAUGCAAAAUCGCAUAUAAAGAGAGUUUCACAAAGAUUGGAUGAGAACCACAAGUUUCUUCACAUCCUCUUCCUCUGCAGAAUAUGCUCUUGCCAUUGCCGCCUGCAAGAACAAAAUAAUGGUAAGGCUUUCAGACCAAGGAAACUAGUAAAAUUACCCGAGGUAAGAUAACAAUAGGAAGGAAGGAAAUUUAUUGCUCACCCCAGCCACCCCACGAUCAGAGGUUCAAAACGUAAGAGAUAAAAACACCUGAGGUAAGAUUACAACAGGAAGGAAGGAAAUGUAUACUACUAGCGCCAAGAAGCGCGCCGCACGCCGCGCCCGUGGUAGGCCUCAUUUAUAUUUGGGAUAAGUACUUUUGUUUUGUUUUUACUUCAUACAGACUAAUCUAGACUGUUAACAAAUAGCACUUCCUUUGGACAAGAUGAUUAAUCAAUAAACGGUUAGCUGAACAUAAAAUAUGUGCUUGCUAAGUCAGGCUAUUUUCAGUUGGUGUUUCAUAAGUUUUCUACCGGCACCACUCUUGCAGUUCUAGUCUUUACUAUUACAAUUCCUUUACAAAUGGUGUGAACAAAUGAUAUUGGUGUCGGUAUUUUUUAUAACAUGGAAAAAACAUUUAAAGUACUUGCUUCUUCUUGUAUAAAGCAGGUAAACUGACUAGAUGAAGAAGUUAAUUUGUGUAGCACAUGAAGUGCAGAGGGCAGUCAUACUAUUACUACCGACGGCACAACAAUAGUCUAAAAGUACAAAGAGUACCCAGGUUAUAGGUGCACAGUACAUACAUUUGUGUUGCUGCUUUCCGUAUCUCUUCUCAACAUCGAGUCAUAUGGAAAAUCUAACAAGGAAGCAUACAAAUCUAGCAAUAAUUUUUGUGCCAGGUAAUAUAACAUGCACCCAUGAGAUACAUAUAACGAUUUAGGAUCACAACGAGAUUACCAGGGGCUGCUUCCAAUAGGUCUUGCAGGACUUGAGAUUUCUCACCAACAUGGGGCAUUACCAUCAACACUUGGCAAGAGAAACAAACAGCAAAGCACAUGUGAGAUAAAAUUUUCCUUCAGCCCUUGCAGCACCAUCUUCUCGUUCUCAUUGUCCUACCAACAAACAAAAUUGUGUCCAUUUCAGUCCAAACUGUAGCUGAAACAAAGAACCAAGUACCAUAUUCAGCAAACAAAAAUUGUGUCCAUUUCUGCAAAAAAUUAUCCCCAACAAUAUCAGGCUUGUCUGUUGCUUCUUUGACAGGGUUACUACCUCCUCCUUUUGGGCGUCCUGCGCAUCAGCAGCAUCCGAGCCCUUCUUCUCUGCAGCACUUGCACAACGAUCUUCUCCUUUUUGUCGCCCUACGAGCAAACAAAAUUGUACCAUUUCAGUCCCAACUAUACUUGAAACGGAGAACCUAGUACCAAAUUCAGCAAACAAAAAAUAUGUCCAUUUCUGCAAAAAUUUAUCCCCACCAUUUUCAGUUUAACCACAUCUAAUUAUUGUAGCAAUACCCAAAAUAGAGCACACAAAUAUAAGGAUUUGACAAAUAGCAGCAAGUGGUGGUCUAGGUUGUUGUUUUGGCAGCAAACAAAUGCAUGUAAAUGUAAAAAGAGAGAGUAGCAGAGGCAUACCAUGGGCUACAUGGUCUAGAAGGAACGUACAGGUCGACCACUUGCUCCUCACGCGCAGCAUCAAUUUCUUCCCUUUUCUCUCCGCUGCUCCCUCACUCGAGUUCAGGGCCGU
RNAcentral lists this long non-coding RNA (1887 nucleotides) under Hordeum vulgare. RNAcentral's name for it is "long non-coding RNA (HVUL_LNC018442)". The record is from RNAcentral. Lineage: Eukaryota; Viridiplantae; Streptophyta; Magnoliopsida; Poales; Poaceae.